This 4024-nucleotide long non-coding RNA is filed under the name Canis lupus familiaris (dog). RNAcentral describes it as "lncRNA (ENSCAFG00845026455.1)". Lineage: Eukaryota; Metazoa; Chordata; Mammalia; Carnivora; Canidae. The record is from RNAcentral.
CUUAACCACUGAGCCACCCAGACAUCCUUGCAUGGCACAACUUUAAAGUCAUAAUAGUUAAUUCCUCCUGAGCAUAGCCAUUCCUAAUACAGAGAGACAAUUAUUGGUCAACUUCUCACCUGGUAGUCAUUCAGCCACAAUAGGGAAAAGGUGCGUCUUCUCACCCAGUGAUCCAGAUAUCUGGGUUACUUAAUGGCCGUCCCUAUCUACACUUAUUUAUUCUUCACGGAUAAAUAGAAGUCAACCAUUUAAAUUAUUUGUUAUAGUUUUGCAAAAGUGGACAUUCUAAAUGAGAAUGUUUAAUUCUCCAUAAAUUAGCACUGUCUUUUGAAAUUUGACAGGUGUGGGCUGCAAGUCUACAGCAGGCAAGUUCAAACACAUCUGAUGGUAAAGCUAACUAUUGAAGAGUAUUAUUUGAAAUGUUUUUUUUUAAAUACUGAUGACAGAUCAGGCAGUGAUAUAGGUCAUGCAUUAUACUCUAAAUACAGUGUGACAGAGAUUCCAAGAAUCCCUGAGAAUCCACACGUUUCAUGGGUAUUUUUGCUGUGGUGGUGGUUCUUGGUAAUCUUAUUUAUUUUUUAUAUUUAAAAUAUUUUUAGAUUUAAUCUAGACAAACUAAAAAUGUUAAUUUUACAUUAGAAAGUAAGAAAGAGCACAUAGGUUUUACCAGACUUCCAAAAGGAUAUAUAAUGAGAAAAAUGGUUAAAAACCCCUGAACUAGGCAUUGCCAGGACCCUGAACAUCCAUGUGCAUUUGCUAGAAACAUCUGUUACAGAUGGAAUGCACAAAUGUUAACUGGUCACAGUCAUGUUCAGUCACCUCUUCAACUCUACCCUUAACCAAGGAGAAAGAUUUCUCUGUAUUAGACUCUACUGUGAUCGGCAUCAAGAAAAGAUAAAGAACAUGACUUUUUAAUAAGAAGCAAAAGUGCACACUUUCACCUGUUAAAGACCUAGAGGUUGAUGAUGAGUUAGAGGUUUUGGAGAUUGGGAAGCAAACUGUAACUUCUUAGUGAGUGACUCAAUAAAUUACCAUUAAUUUUUCUAGAAAUUGGUUGGCUCUUCCACCUGCAAUAUGCAAAGUGAAUUAAAAUCUUGCCUGUUAUUACUGAAUCUAUUUCCCUCAGUUAAGUACAAUAUGAAUGUAUAUUUAGAAACACUGCAACACCUUCCAGUUUCAAAGAAAGCUAUGUGGGGCUUCUAGGCUAAAAUCAGGCAUGGCAGAAGAAAGCGACACUCAGUGAAGACCCAUGUUUCUCAACGCUGUUGUCCCAACAUUUAGAAACACCCCUGGCAUAAAAACAAUGCUGUCACUUGGGGAAAUCUUGUUCUCUUUUUUUUAACACCAAAAGCCAGAUUCAGCCCACAAUUUAAUAUUGUCAAUACAUUUUCUUCAUUACACAACUGGCACGCCAACUGUUACCUAAGCACUUCACUCUUCAAAUCCCACACCCACACAUUCUGAACUCAUCUGCACCCAGAUAUGAAUAAAGAUGAAUAGCAUCUUGAGGAAAUAGCUUCUCCAUUCUCAAAUGGCAAAAGCUAUGGAGCAAACACCCCACGGUACCUGAGGGAUUUCUCAGAGGAACAAGAAAGAAAGAACCCUGAAGCCACCAUUUUGUCAGGAAGAUCACAUCCUUCCAUGGCUACUUGCCCAUUGGGGAAUCUGAAGUCCAAAGGGACAUCAGAAAUCCUUUUCAAUAUUGAGGUUCUGUGACUUUCUUAUAAAGAGAGGACUUUUUUUUUAUUUUACUAAAUUUCAGAUAAUUAGGUUUUGGUAGGUCAGCAGCCCAACUCCGCAUCUCUUUAUGGGGAAUGGUUCUAGGAGACCUUGAUGAAAUUGCAAAUGCUUGGAAAUAGUCACUUGCUUGCAUGCUGGGUAAAUAGGAAAGCAUGCUGACUGUAUUUAUUUUACUAUCAUUAUGUCUCCAUGGGGUGGGCUAGUAAAAAAGUGCAAGCUGUUAACAGCUUGGUAUAUACAUACACACAUGCCCCACACACACUGUAUACUCUAAAAGAAUUUAUUUUUCCUUCAUCUCAAACCGUGACUGCAGAAAAUCCCCAAUACUCAAGUGAAUUGUUUUCCAAAUGUUUAUAAAUGGGAUGUUUUGUCAGUCUGUUCAUUAGUGUUCGUUCAUUUGACAAGUUGUUAAUGAAUGCCUACUAUGUGCCAGGCUGGUGGUGAACAUUACAGACAGUGGUAUAAACACAGGCACGUCUUUGCUCAAAGAAAUGUUUCACAAGGUGGCUAGGUGCCCAGACUAACCUAUAGUAACCUCCCAUAUUAAGCAUCUUGGGCUGCAGUAACAAAAUACCACAGGCAAGGUGCCAGCAUGGCCAAUAUCUUGUGAGAGAUCUCUCCUUGGGUUGUAGAUGGCCUUGUUCUUGCUGUAUCCUUAUGAGACCAUUCUUCAGGGGAUGUGGAUGGAAAGAGAAGAGGCAAACUCUCUGGGAUCUCUUCUUACAAGGGCACUGAUCCCAUGAUGAAGGGCCCACCUUCCUGACCUCACCUAAACCAAAUUACCUCCCAGAGCCCCUAUCUCCAAGCACAGUCACAUUAGGGGUCGGGGCUUCAAUACUGCUUUAAUAUCAAAUGUGCUGUGUCACCUAUAAUGUUGAUUCAAUAGCCCUAAGUUUCAAAUGGUUGAUGGUUUCAAAUCCAUCAGAUGGUUUCAAAUCCAUCUCAGAAGAAUACGACUUUGGUUCCUCCGUGAUUUGGCCUCUGCAGGGACCCCAGACACCAACAGAGGGUGAGAACCACAGUAACAUCAUACACCUCAGUCCUGAGGACCCAGGUGGUUUGGGGUUUAGAGGAGAGUAAAAUAAGUUUUGAGGCUCAGGUCAGCAUCUAAAGCAGAAAUCAUUAAAAUCUCUACAGUGAAAUCAAAAUCCAGAAAUGUUAUGCUUUUAAAAAUCAGGUGUCCUUACUUCAAAGCCUGCCUGCCUCUUCGAAGCAUCUUAUGAUCAAGUUCAAUCAGCCAACACAGCAAAACAAAUAAAAAUAACACAAAAUCAGAAUAACAGCAAGAUUCAAUGUAUUAUACCAGGCCUGAGGCUUUCAAAAAGCUGCAUUCACAGAGUACUCCUAACCAGGCCUGAGGAAGUAGGCUAGCUGCAUGUUGGCUCCUCUGCUGUGGGAAAGCCAACAUCCAUUCAGCCCCAUCCCUCAACAGGAAAGGAUUUGACUCUUCCAAGGUUUGAUCAUUUCCUUAAAAGCUUGUUCAAAGCCAGCCUGGAAUGGACAGGGAUCGAUGAGAAGAAAUUCCAGAAAUCCUCUGAUGAAAAUUGUGUGCAGCUGACUUCCUUCCAGACAAGCCUCUGCUACCUCAAAGAAACAACCAGCACAUAGCACAGAGGUGGAACGCGCCUUUCCCCAUGGUCCGGAAUCCAUGCAGAAGCAAUCAAUAACUUUUAGCUGUAUCUCUGACAUACACACUUCCAAAAUGGAAUGUCAAGCUCCCUCACGUUUUUCAUAGAACGAAGGGAAUAAAACACUCCUACAUUUCUCUUCCCCCAUCUAGUGUCAAAAUUGAAAAGGCAGGUAAGGACAUUCAGGUACCUUUGGGUGACUUGACUCACUCUUGGGGCUGUACCGAAUUGUGUAUGGCUUUGCCACAGCACAGAGGGUCUGGGAAUAUGUCUAAUGCGGGUCUGGUUCUUUGCAGGGGCUUUUAUUUCCAUAGUCCAAAAGGCUCCUCACAGCAAGUUACAUAGGACAAGAAAUAUGACAGCCAUUUGGCAGGCACCAGGGGCUCAGAGAGUGGAAGGGACUCUCACCUUUGGUCACACAGCUAAUGACAGAACCCUAUUCAAAAUCAGGAAUUCCAAGUGCAGAUUUUAUCAUCUUCAUACCAGCUUGGGAACUAGAUCUCCAUUCUUCUGCAGGAGGCUGGGUAGAGCCUGCGGAUGUGUUCUGUGUUUUGUUUUGUUCUGUUUUUAAUUGAAUUAGUUCAACCAUUAAACAUCAGGAGCUUUCACAUAAAAAAUCUGGAUUCUUGACUUUUUUUUUGGGGAAAACCAAACAA